UCAAAUUAUUAAGCGCACAUGGCGGAUGCCUUGGCAUCAGAAGCCGAUGAAGGACGUAGUAGGCUGCGAUAAGCCUCGGGGAGCUGUCAAACGAGCUUUGAUCCGAGGAUUUCCGAAUGGGGAAACCCAGCCAGAGUAAUGUCUGGUUAUUUCUGCCUGAAUAUAUAGGGCAGAUAAAGGGAACGUGGGGAAGUGAAACAUCUCAGUACCCACAGGAAGAGAAAACAAAAGUGAUUCCGUUAGUAGUGGCGAGCGAACGCGGAAGAGGCUAAACCGAUCAUGUGUGAUAGCCGGCGGGCGUUGCAUGAUCGGGGUUGUGGGACUUUCCAGCUGUUCUGCCGGACAGCAGCAGUAGAAAGCAAUAUAGUCGAAUGGUCUUGAAAGGCCAGUCAUAGAGGGUGCCAACCCCGUAGACGAAAUGUUGUGGACGCUGGGAGAGUAUCCCAAGUAGUGCGGAACCCGUGAAAUUCUGCACGAAUCUGUCGGGACCACCCGAUAAGCCUAAAUACUACCUAUUGACCGAUAGCGGACAAGUACCGUGAGGGAAAGGUGAAAAGUACCCCGGGAGGGGAGUGAAAUAGUACCUGAAACCGUGUGCUUACAAUCCGUCGGAGCCAGCUUGUUCUGGUGACGGCGUGCCUUUUGAAGAAUGAGCCUGAGAGUUAGUGAUAUGUGGCGAGGUUAACCCGAGUGGGGAAGCCGUAGCGAAAGCGAGUCUGAACAGGGCGUUCAGUCGCAUGUCCUAGACCCGAAGCGAAGUGAUCUAUCCAUGGCCAGGUUGAAGCGGCGGUAAGACGCCGUGGAGGACCGAACCCACUUCAGUUGAAAAUGGAGGGGAUGAGCUGUGGGUAGGGGUGAAAGGCCAAUCAAACUUCGUGAUAGCUGGUUCUCUCCGAAAUGCAUUUAGGUGCAGCGUCACGUGUUUCUUACCGGAGGUAGAGCUACUGGAUGGUCGAGGGGGCCUACAAGCUUACCAACAUCAGCCAAACUCCGAAUGCCGGUAAGUGAGAGCGUGGCAGUGAGACUGUGGGGGAUAAGCUUCAUAGUCGAGAGGGAAACAACCCAGAAUAGCAACUAAGGUCCCAAAGCCUGUGCUAAGUGGAAAAGGAUGUGGAGUCGCAUAGACAACCAGGAGGUUGGCUUAGAAGCAGCCACCCUUAAAAGAGUGCGUAAUAGCUCACUGGUCAAGUGAUUCCGCGCCGACAAUGUAGCGGGGCUCAAGCACACCGCCGAAGCCGUGUCAUUCAUACAAUAUCCAAGCCUUCGUGGUUCAGGAGUAUGGAUGGGUAGGGGAGCGUCGUGUGGCGAGCGAAGCGGCGGGGUAACCCAGCCGUGGACGCCACACGAGUGAGAAUUCAGGCAUGAGUAGCGAAAGCCGGGUGAGAAACCCGGCCUCCGAAAGAACAAGGGUUCCAGGGCCAGGUUAAUCCGCCCUGGGUAAGUCGGGACCUAAGGCGAGGCCGACAGGCGUAGUCGAUGGACAACGGGUUGAUAUUCCCGUACCGGCGAAGAACCGCCCAAACUAAUCCAGUAAUGCUAAGUUGCUGAAGCUUUUUACUGAUGCCUUCGGGCUGAAGUGGAAAGUGGAGCCAACGACCCUAUGCUGGUGCGGUUAACGUAUUAACAGGUGUGACGCAGGAAGGUAGCCUCCGCGGGGCGAUGGUUGUCCCCGUUUAAGGAUGUAGGGCGAGAGAUAGGCAAAUCCGUCUCUCACAUAGCCUGAGAUCUGAUGAUGAGUCCGUAAGGACGAAGUGGGUGAUCCUAUGCUGCCAAGAAAAGCAUCGACGUGAGGUUCUAGCUGCCCGUACCCCAAACCGACUCAGGUGGUCAGGUAGAGAAUACUAAGGAGAUCGAGAGAAUCGUGGUUAAGGAACUCGGCAAAAUGCCCCCGUAACUUCGGGAGAAGGGGGGCCUGAGGUGUGUAGAGAUUUACUCUCGAAGCACUGUAUGGCCGCAGAGACCAGUGAGAAGCGACUGUUUACUAAAAACACAGGUCCGUGCGAAGUUGCAAAACGAUGUAUACGGACUGACGCCUGCCCGGUGCUGGAAGGUUAAGGGGACUGGUUAGCCGCAAGGCGAAGCUGAGAACUUAAGCCCCAGUAAACGGCGGUGGUAACUAUAACCAUCCUAAGGUAGCGAAAUUCCUUGUCGGGUAAGUUCCGACCUGCACGAAUGGCGUAACGACUUCAGCGCUGUCUCAACCGUGGACUCGGCGAAAUUGCACUACGAGUAAAGAUGCUCGUUACGCGCGGAAAGACGGAAAGACCCCGGGACCUUUACUAUAGUUUGGUAUUGGUGUUCGAUUCGAUUUAUGUAGGAUAGGUGGGAGACUUUGAAGCCAAGACGCCAGUUUUGGUGGAGUCAAUCUUGAAAUACCACUUUGAUCGUGUUGAAUGUCUAACCUAGGUCCGUAAUCCGGAUCAGGGACAGUGCCUGAUGGGUAGUUUAACUGGGGCGGUUGCCUCCCAAAAAGUAACG
This 2478-nucleotide ribosomal RNA is filed under the name marine metagenome. RNAcentral's name for it is "bacterial LSU rRNA". It matches the Rfam family "Bacterial large subunit ribosomal RNA", at positions 3 to 2302 of the family's 2925-position model. The record is from RNAcentral.